AGGAAAAGAGCCACUCAGAGUAGCCAAGGAGACUGCCUAUGCAACCACACAACAAUCUUUGGAGCAAAACAUGCACGGAUUUAAGCCCACGCGCGUUGCAGACGCUUAAGAAUAGCGUAGGAGAUCGUAGGCAAGUCAUCCUUGGCUAUCGGAGAUAGGCUCUCGUCC
This is a microRNA precursor of Ananas comosus (pineapple), 168 nucleotides long. Lineage: Eukaryota; Viridiplantae; Streptophyta; Magnoliopsida; Poales; Bromeliaceae. The record is from Rfam.